UACGGAGGGGGCUAGCGUUGUUCGGAAUUACUGGGCGUAAAGCGCGCGUAGGCGGUCCUGCAAGUCGGGGGUGAAAGCCCGAGGCUCAACCUCGGAACUGCCUUCGAUACUGCGGGUCUCGAGUCCGGGAGAGGUGAGUGGAAUUCCUAGUGUAGAGGUGAAAUUCGUAGAUAUUAGGAAGAACACCAGUGGCGAAGGCGGCUCACUGGCGCGGUACUGACGCUGAGGUGCGAAAGCCAGGGGAGCGAAUGGG
RNAcentral lists this ribosomal RNA (253 nucleotides) under uncultured bacterium. RNAcentral's name for it is "partial 16S ribosomal RNA". It matches the Rfam family "Bacterial small subunit ribosomal RNA", at positions 524 to 776 of the family's 1533-position model. The record is from RNAcentral.